Molecule: long non-coding RNA, 614 nt
Organism: Oncorhynchus tshawytscha (Chinook salmon)
Lineage: Eukaryota; Metazoa; Chordata; Actinopteri; Salmoniformes; Salmonidae
Source: Ensembl
AAUGAAAUGGUCUAUAAAUAGCAUAUGUUUGCUGUUAAGUUACAAUACAGCAUUAGUCUCAAGUUGAAUACUUUUAAAGCAUUUUACAUCUUCAAUUGAACAGGUAAGAGUUUCAAAGAAUACUGUAGUGGAGUUUAGUCAUGCGUGUCUAGCUUUGAAUUCACUGUAUGUCUUUUUCAUUUCAAGAACUCCGUGGUGACCAUGAAACUACUAUUCCUAGUGAUGUGCCUGAUUGGACUUUGUUCUUCCAUUCCUGUGUCUGAGGAACAUGAUCGAGAGGAGCGCUCAGCUAGCAAUGAGAGAUACAGGGGUUAUGGCCGUGGUUUGGGAGGGUUUUACCCCUAUCAGCAGCCUCAGUACCCAUCCUACUUCCCUUAUGCGCAGCCUAACUCUGCCUUGAUGGCCCUCCUGCCCUUCCUAUUGGCCAGCCUUGCCUCUACUCCUGCCGCAACUCCUGCUGCAGCUCCAGCUCCAGCCCCGGCAGCGGGUGGAAAAUGAGACGGGCGUCGAUAGGGAAGGAGAAAAAACUUGUUUAAAUCAAAUAUGUUGACAUUAGCUCCUGUUCAGAGCUGAUUAUUCCAUCAUUAAUAAAUGAAAUAAGUUAAGAUCCGUCA